Molecule: ribosomal RNA, 253 nt
Filed under: uncultured bacterium
Lineage: Bacteria
Description: partial 16S ribosomal RNA
Rfam family: Bacterial small subunit ribosomal RNA
Source: RNAcentral
UACGAAGGGGGCUAGCGUUGCUCGGAAUUACUGGGCGUAAAGGGCGCGUAGGCGGAUAUUUAAGUCAGGGGUGAAAGCCCGGGGCUCAACCUCGGAAUUGCCUUUGAUACUGGAUAUCUUGAGUUCGGGAGAGGUGAGUGGAAUGCCGAGUGUAGAGGUGAAAUUCGUAGAUAUUCGCAAGAACACCAGUGGCGAAGGCGGCUCACUGGCCCGAUACUGACGCUGAGGCACGAAAGCGUGGGGAGCAAACAGG